RNAcentral lists this long non-coding RNA (464 nucleotides) under Physcomitrium patens. RNAcentral's name for it is "long non-coding RNA (PPAT_LNC010636)". Lineage: Eukaryota; Viridiplantae; Streptophyta; Bryopsida; Funariales; Funariaceae. The record is from RNAcentral.
AUUCUACGACUAUCAAUUAAACAAUACUUCCAUAUUCUUAUCAGUUCAUCUUCCACUUAUUUUUUUUGUGGUUUAUAUAUAUUCAAUUACUGAUCUCCAGCUUACUUAUGAUAUUCAGUUUCUCAAUUCAUCACACAGAAUUCAAUACCUUCACUUAACACAAUACAAUUCGAUAAUUUCAAUUCUCAAGGUCAUAGAAUUUCUCCAAAUUGGUCAGUCCAAAGUCAUAUUCCAUAAUAUUCUAAUCACAGUUGCAAUAAUACUUCUUUCAAUCACAAUUCUUCAUAAACAAAUAAUAAAAGUAAAAAAAACAAAGAGGUAGCAUCAAGCUUACCCUUGCUUACAACUCUCAUAGUCUGGCCUCCCGGCUUACAACUUUCACAGUUUGGCCCCUUGACUUACGACUCUCACAAUCUAGCUCUUUGGCUUACGACUCUCACAAUCUGACCCCUUGGCUUAUGACU